AGGAUUCGUCCAAUUGAAGCAGAGGACAGUGGCGGACGGGUGAGUAACGCGUGAGGAACCUGCCUUUCAGAGGGGGACAACAGUUGGAAACGACUGCUAAUACCGCAUGAUACGUUUUAGGGGCAUCCCUGAGACGUCAAAGAUUUAUCGCUGAAAGAUGGCCUCGCGUCUGAUUAGCUAGUUGGUGAGGUAACGGCCCACCAAGGCGACGAUCAGUAGCCGGACUGAGAGGUUGACCGGCCACAUUGGGACUGAGAUACGGCCCAGACUCC
RNAcentral lists this ribosomal RNA (272 nucleotides) under uncultured Oscillibacter sp. RNAcentral describes it as "partial 16S ribosomal RNA". It matches the Rfam family "Bacterial small subunit ribosomal RNA", at positions 71 to 339 of the family's 1533-position model. Lineage: Bacteria; Bacillati; Bacillota; Clostridia; Eubacteriales; Oscillospiraceae. The record is from RNAcentral.